Molecule: RNA transcript, 2738 nt
Organism: Piliocolobus tephrosceles (Ugandan red Colobus)
Lineage: Eukaryota; Metazoa; Chordata; Mammalia; Primates; Cercopithecidae
Gene: TPM2
Gene name: tropomyosin 2
Exons: 9
Source: RefSeq, a predicted model, not a curated record
CUCCACUUCCUCUCUCCCCACCCCACCCCAGGGAAAAACGAAAACAAACACCCUUGGGCCCCGCACCUCCGACUCCCGGACCCCACGACCCGGCUCCGGAACUGCUUUGGCGGCCUGGGUCGGAGAAGGCGCCUCGCCCUGGACCCACUACGCCCCGCAGCUCAGUGACUCUUCGCCUCGCCAUCCGCAUUCCCCGCCCCAGCCCGACUCCGCCUCCCAAUGGGGAAACAUCCCAAAAAAGGGCAGAAAAGAAAUUUCAGCAUAAAGUUGGCCCACUGGGAAAGAGGGGAGCGUCCGCGGGGAGCGGGGGAAGAGAGGGAGGGCGCGCGGAGGGGAGUGGGGCCAGGCGAGCCGGGGGCGGGGAGCGGAGGGGUUCGGGACGCGUCCGGGUGGGAGCGGGGGCGGGGAACGCGCGGUGACCAGCCCGGCCACAACCGCGUGGAAAAUAUGCGGGGCACGUGGGGGGCUGGGCGGGGAGCUGGGUCCUGAGUCGCCGGGCGCUCGCAGGGCGGGCCUGGCUCCAGGGACGGGGGCUGGGAGAGGAGGCGAGGGGAUGAGAGGUCAGGCCGGUUCUGGGGGCAGCAAGCCCGGCCACACUCCGCGCCGCGACCGGGGCUCUGGGCUCGCCUCCUGCCUCAGUUUCCCCAAGCCCCCGAUGAGACUCCGCUACUACCACCACGUCGAUAACGCAAACUUAGGGGGACUCUGGGUAAACUGAGGCACUCAAAUUGCCGAGGAGCUCCGCCUCCCAAGAGACAUUUAAUCCGGGGGGAUUUGCAGGAAACUUCUAAAUUAAGGGUAGCGGCUGCUGCAGCUGAGGGGGGGCACGCCGGUCGCUGCGCCCGGGCAGCUGCCGUGAGCUCACGCCCCGAAAUAGCCCCAGGGGCCCCAGCCGCAGCUGCCACUGGGUCCGGCUGUCACUCAGAGGAAGCACGGAGCCCCCAGCCACAGGGUCCCCUCCCCUCCGCAGCGCCGGAGUUUUUCCAACCGACAGUCUGCUACUUUUUCCUUCGACGGCUGGCGGGGAAGAGGGGAAUGGGGGCGGGACCCCAAGGGAGGCGGUCCCCAGUGGGUGGGCGAAGGGGGCGGGCGCGCCCCCCGGCCAGGCCGUGCUUCUGCCCCUACAAGGUUUGGGCCGAGGUGGGGGAGGGUCCUGGUUGCCGGCCCCGCCCGGUCCCUCCCCGGCUUUUAGGCGCCCGCGCGGCCGGGACGUCCCAGCCUCGCUUGGUCCUCCUCGCCUGCCACCCGUGCACCCAGUUCGCUCAGCCAGCCCAGUCCGUCCGGUCCUCACCGCCUGCCGGCCUGCCCACCCCCCACCGCAGCCAUGGACGCCAUCAAGAAGAAGAUGCAGAUGCUGAAGCUGGACAAGGAGAACGCCAUCGACCGCGCCGAGCAGGCCGAAGCUGACAAGAAGCAAGCUGAGGACCGCUGCAAGCAGCUGGAGGAGGAGCAGCAGGCCCUCCAGAAGAAGCUGAAGGGGACAGAGGAUGAGGUGGAAAAGUAUUCUGAAUCCGUGAAGGAGGCCCAGGAGAAACUGGAGCAGGCCGAGAAGAAGGCCACUGAUGCUGAGGCAGAUGUGGCCUCUCUGAACCGCCGCAUUCAGCUGGUUGAGGAGGAGCUGGACCGGGCCCAGGAGCGCCUGGCUACAGCCCUGCAGAAGCUGGAGGAGGCCGAGAAGGCAGCUGAUGAGAGCGAGAGAGGAAUGAAGGUCAUCGAAAACCGGGCCAUGAAGGACGAGGAGAAGAUGGAGCUGCAGGAGAUGCAGCUGAAGGAAGCCAAGCACAUCGCUGAGGAUUCAGACCGCAAAUAUGAAGAGGUGGCCAGGAAGCUGGUGAUCCUGGAAGGAGAGCUGGAGCGCUCAGAGGAGAGAGCUGAGGUGGCUGAGAGCCGAGCCAGACAGCUGGAGGAGGAACUUCGAACCAUGGACCAGGCCCUCAAGUCCCUGAUGGCCUCAGAGGAGGAGGUAGCAACCCCUCUGAACCUUUCUGGGCAAUGGCGCCUUCUCUCAGCUCACCUUCCCUCCGUCUCAGCACCGCAGACUGCUCUUUCUCAGCUGCUGGGGAUCAGGAAGGGCCUGGGGCUUCUGAGCCCUGCCUGCUGUCACUCUCACAACUUUGCUCUUCUCUUCUCUCCUCCACCCAUCCCCCGCUGUGCCAUCUCCACUGUCUGGCUUCGCUGUGCCCUCACACCCCGCCCCCCCCGCCACACACCCCCUGCAGUAAAUGUGGGGACCUAGAGGAGGAGCUGAAAAUUGUUACCAACAACUUGAAAUCCCUGGAGGCCCAGGCGGACAAGUAUUCCACCAAAGAAGAUAAAUAUGAAGAGGAGAUCAAACUGUUGGAGGAGAAGCUGAAGGAGGCUGAGACCCGAGCAGAGUUUGCUGAGAGGUCUGUGGCAAAGUUGGAGAAAACCAUCGAUGACCUAGAAGAUGAAGUCUAUGCCCAGAAGAUGAAGUACAAGGCCAUUAGCGAGGAACUGGACAACGCACUCAAUGAUAUCACCUCCCUCUGAGCCCCACGCCAACGUGGCCACCUCAGCCCUCUUCUCUCCUCUCCUUUCUGUUCUCUCUAUGGGGAGGGGAGCAGGCAGGAGGAGCAGAAAUUGCCAACAUUGCACAGCCAGGCUGGGAGCAGCCUAGGGAGAGCCCCUAUCAUGCCCACCACCCACUCUGGCACUGGCUUCAUCCUUUACCUGUCCCCUCCACCCCCCUUUGCUGCUUAAUAAACUCUGAACUUGGU